AUACGCAUAGCUCAGUUGGUUAGAUAGGGAGCGGCUACGGAGUAGCAAAAAUAGUCCUGUGGACUGUUUUUAGCGAUUCUCGGUUGAGCAUUGUGAAACCGCAAUGUCUCCAAAACCGAAGGUCGAAGGUUCAAAUCCUUCUGCGUAUG
This 149-nucleotide transfer RNA is filed under the name Treponema sp. Its description in RNAcentral is "tRNA-Trp". It matches the Rfam family "tRNA". Rfam says of the family: Transfer RNA (tRNA) molecules are approximately 80 nucleotides in length. Their secondary structure includes four short double-helical elements and three loops (D, anti-codon, and T loops). Further hydrogen bonds mediate the characteristic L-shaped molecular structure. tRNAs have two regions of fundamental functional importance: the anti-codon, which is responsible for specific mRNA codon recognition, and the 3' end, to which the tRNAs corresponding amino acid is attached (by aminoacyl-tRNA synthetases). tRNAs cope with the degeneracy of the genetic code in two manners: having more than one tRNA (with a specific anti-codon) for a particular amino acid; and 'wobble' base-pairing, i.e. permitting non-standard base-pairing at the 3rd anti-codon position. Lineage: Bacteria; Pseudomonadati; Spirochaetota; Spirochaetia; Treponematales; Treponemataceae. The record is from RNAcentral.